GACAGAGGCCUCGAGCGUUAGGCGGAAUCACUGGGCUUAAAGCGUGUGUAGGCGGGCCCGUAAGUGUCUUGUGAAAUCCCACGGCUCAACCGUGGAACUGCUGGGCAUACUGCGGGUCUUGGGCCAACUAGGGGCAGCCGGAACAAGCGGUGGAGCGGUGAAAUGCGUAGAUAUCGACUUGGAACGCCAAUGGUGAAAACAGGUAGCUGGGGGUGUGCUGACACUGAGCACGAAAGCCAGGGGA
RNAcentral lists this ribosomal RNA (244 nucleotides) under uncultured bacterium. Its description in RNAcentral is "partial 16S ribosomal RNA". It matches the Rfam family "Bacterial small subunit ribosomal RNA", at positions 524 to 767 of the family's 1533-position model. The record is from RNAcentral.